AGCAGCCGCGGUAAUUCCAGCUCCAAUAGCGUAUAUUAAAGUUGUUGCAGUUAAAAAGCUCGUAGUUGAAUUUCGGGAUUGACACAUCGGUCGUGCCUUAAGGGGUAUGAACUGGUGUAGUCAAUUUCUCACCUUCUGGAGAACCGCGAUGCCCUUAAUUGGGUGUCGCGGGGAACCAGGACCUUUACUUUGAAAAAUUAGAGUGUUUAAAGCAGGCAUUUUGCUUGAAUACAUUAGCAUGGAAUAAUAAAAUAGGACGGCAUGAUUCUAUUUUGUUGGUUUCUAGGAUCACCGUAAUGAUUAAUAGGGAUAGUUGGGGGCAUUAGUAUUCAAUUGUCAGAGGUGAAAUUCUUGGAUUUAUUGAAGACUAACUACUGCGAAAGCAUUCGCCAAGGAUGUUUUCAUUAAUCAAGAACGAAAGUUAGGGGAUCGAAGACGAUCAGAUACCGUCGUAGUCUUAACCAUAAACUAUGCUGACUAGGAAUCAGACGAUGUAAUUUUUAAUGUACUCGUU
Molecule: ribosomal RNA, 514 nt
Filed under: uncultured Entrophospora
Lineage: Eukaryota; Fungi; Glomeromycota; Glomeromycetes; Entrophosporales; Entrophosporaceae
Description: SSU rRNA
Rfam family: Eukaryotic small subunit ribosomal RNA
Source: RNAcentral